This is an RNA transcript of Odobenus rosmarus divergens (Pacific walrus), 319 nucleotides long. RefSeq lists it as uncharacterized. NCBI's taxonomy places the organism in Eukaryota, Metazoa, Chordata, Mammalia, Carnivora, Odobenidae. The record is from RefSeq and is a predicted model, not a curated record. The transcript is spliced from 2 exons.
UAGUUGGACGCCCUUGGGCCGGCGCGGCCGCGGCUCUCUGCGUCCAGGCGGGAUGGGGCAGUUCAGCCCUUCCCGCCGCCCCCACCUUGGCUGUUGUCGCAGGCAAGAAGACUGUGACGGGCGCUGCGUUGUCCGCGGCCGCCGCAGCCCCUGCCCUGGGCGACGGCCCGGAGCUGGUCACGGUCGGGGUGCGAGAGGCGGAGCAGCGGCCAUUACUGCGCAGCCUCUUCCGCCGGGGUCCUCGUCUCUGCCUUUGGUGGCAACCAGAAUGAACCAGCAGUGGAAGACAAAAUACCACACACUGUUUGACUGCCGGUGA